UGGGGAAUAUUGCGCAAUGGGGGGAACCCUGACGCAGCCAUGCCGCGUGAAUGAAGAAGGCCUUAGAGUUGUAGAGUUCUUUCGGUAUUGAGGAAGGUUGAUGUGUUAAUAGCACAUCAAAUUGACGUUAAAUACAGAAGAAGCACCGGCUAACUCCGUGCCAGCAGCCGCGGUAAUACGGAGGGUGCGAGCGUUAAUCGGAAUAACUGGGCGUAAAGGGCACGCAGGCGGUUAUUUAAGUGAGGUGUGAAAGCCCCGGGCUUAACCUGGGAAUUGCAUUUCAGACUGGGUAACUAGAGUACUUUAGGGAGGGGUAGAAUUCCACGUGUAGCGGUGAAAUGCGUAGAGAUGUGGAGGAAUACCGAAGGCGAAGGCAGCCCCUUGGGAAUGUACUGACGCUCAUGUGCGAAAGCGUGGGGAGCAAACAGGAUUAGAUACCCUGGUAGUCCACGCUGUAAACGCUGUCGAUUUGGGGGUUGGGGUUUAACUCUGGCGCCCGUAGCUAACGUGAUAAAUCGACCGCCUGGGGAGUACGGCCGCAAGGUUA
Molecule: ribosomal RNA, 547 nt
Filed under: uncultured bacterium
Lineage: Bacteria
Description: bacterial SSU rRNA
Rfam family: Bacterial small subunit ribosomal RNA
Source: RNAcentral